RNAcentral lists this non-coding RNA (45 nucleotides) under Schistosoma mattheei. The record is from RNAcentral. Lineage: Eukaryota; Metazoa; Platyhelminthes; Trematoda; Strigeidida; Schistosomatidae.
ACCUUGCUGACGAGUGCCGAAUAGCACGAAACCCUAGUCCAGGGU